GCCGAUUUACAACAAGGCAAACUGGCGGAAACAAUGAAAAAAGAAGUAAUCAACUUACAACAUACGUAUACCAUACAGAAAAAGGUUGAUACACAUACUGUUGAUGAACUGUGGCUAGAAUUCAAAACAAAACUCAAUGAACUAGUCAGUGAGCAUAUUCCACACAAAAAGCUAACUACAAAAAAUAAAACCCCAUGGGUAACAUUUGAAACAAGAAAAUUAAUGAAAAAGAGAGACAGACUUUAUAAAAAGAUGAAAAAGUCUUGAAAUGACAACAUGAGAAACAAGUAUAAGCAAAUUAAACAUCAGGUACAAAAACAACUCAGCCAAUCAUACUGGCAAUACAUUGAAAAAUAUGUAACACCAAAAC
RNAcentral lists this long non-coding RNA (370 nucleotides) under Mytilus galloprovincialis (Mediterranean mussel). Lineage: Eukaryota; Metazoa; Mollusca; Bivalvia; Mytilida; Mytilidae. The record is from RNAcentral.